This 355-nucleotide ribosomal RNA is filed under the name Eukaryota sp. RNAcentral describes it as "SSU rRNA". It matches the Rfam family "Eukaryotic small subunit ribosomal RNA", at positions 1324 to 1700 of the family's 1831-position model. The record is from RNAcentral.
UGCGUUAACGAACGAGACCUUAACCUGCUAAAUAGUUAGGCCAACGUUUGUUGGUCGUCAACUUCUUAGAGGGACUAUUGACUAUUAGUCAAUGGAAGUUUGAGGCAAUAACAGGUCUGUGAUGCCCUUAGAUGUUCUGGACCGCACGCGCGCUACACUGAUCAAGUCAACGAGUUUACAACCUUGGCCGGAAGGUCUGGGUAAUCUUUUGAAACUUGAUCGCGCUGGGGAUAGUCCAUUGCAAUUAUUGCUCUUCAACGAGGAAUGCCUAGUAAGCGCGUAUCAUCAGUACGCGUUGAUUACGUCCCUGCCCUUUGUACACACCGCCCGUCGCUAAUACCGAUUGAAUGGCUCA